Molecule: ribosomal RNA, 247 nt
Filed under: Enterobacter sp. 50588862
Lineage: Bacteria; Pseudomonadati; Pseudomonadota; Gammaproteobacteria; Enterobacterales; Enterobacteriaceae
Description: partial 23S ribosomal RNA
Rfam family: Bacterial large subunit ribosomal RNA
Source: RNAcentral
CUUGACACUGAACACUGGUCCUUGAUGUGUAGGAUAGGUGGGAGGCUUUGAAGCGUGGACGCCAGUCUGCGUGGAGCCGUCCUUGAAAUACCACCCUUUAAUGGCUGGUGUUCUAACGUAGACCCGUAAUCCGGGUUGCGGACAGUGUCUGGUGGGUAGUUUGACUGGGGCGGUCUCCUCCCAAAGAGUAACGGAGGAGCACGAAGGUUAGCUAAUCCUGGUCGGACAUCAGGAGGUUAGUGCAAUG